Molecule: ribosomal RNA, 258 nt
Filed under: uncultured bacterium
Lineage: Bacteria
Description: partial 16S ribosomal RNA
Rfam family: Bacterial small subunit ribosomal RNA
Source: RNAcentral
GUCCACGCCCUAAACGAUGAUCACUCGAUGUGUGCGAUACACUGUACGCGUCUGAGCGAAAGCAUUAAGUGAUCCACCUGGGGAGUACGACCGCAAGGUUGAAACUCAAAGGAAUUGACGGGGGCCCGCACAAGCGGAGGAGCAUGUGGUUUAAUUCGAUGAUACGCGAGGAACCUUACCAGGGCUUGAAAGUUAGUGAAGGAUGUGGAAACAUGUCCGUCAGCAAUGACACGAAACUAGGUGCUGCAUGGCUGUCGU